This 253-nucleotide ribosomal RNA is filed under the name uncultured bacterium. Its description in RNAcentral is "partial 16S ribosomal RNA". It matches the Rfam family "Bacterial small subunit ribosomal RNA", at positions 524 to 776 of the family's 1533-position model. The record is from RNAcentral.
GACGGAGGAUGCAAGUGUUAUCCGGAAUCACUGGGCGUAAAGCGUCUGUAGGUGGUCAAAUAAGUCAACUGUUAAAUCUUGAGGCUCAACCUCAAAAUCGCAGUCGAAACUAUUAGACUAGAGUAUAGUAGGGGUAAAGGGAAUUUCCAGUGGAGCGGUGAAAUGUGUAGAGAUUGGAAAGAACACCGAUGGCGAAGGCACUUUACUGGGCUAUUACUAACACUCAGAGACGAAAGCUAGGGUAGCAAAUGGG